RNAcentral lists this long non-coding RNA (357 nucleotides) under Androctonus crassicauda. The record is from RNAcentral. Lineage: Eukaryota; Metazoa; Arthropoda; Arachnida; Scorpiones; Buthidae.
ACAGACUGUUUAUGAAUAACACCAUUAAAUCCGCUAUGAGAUCAGUGAAUAAGAAGAGAGUAUAUAAAAGAGCCCCCACCGUUUUUAGCAUUCUACGAAACAACAAAACAAAACGGCGUAAAGACUUUAAUUCUAGUGUUUACAAAAUUCCACUACAUAAUCUAGAUGAUAAUCGGCCAGAAGUUUAUAUAGGACCACAGCCCGGAAUUUUAGAGACGGUGUUCGAAAGCAUAAAGACAACAUCGCGAAGGGUAACCUCAGCAUUGCUCUAGCAUUAAGAACAUUUGAAAAGAAAGUGGAGAUCUCAUGGCAAAAUGCUCAGGUUACAAAACUAGUUAAUGAUCGUAGAAUCCUUCC